RNAcentral lists this ribosomal RNA (497 nucleotides) under uncultured bacterium. Its description in RNAcentral is "partial 16S ribosomal RNA". It matches the Rfam family "Bacterial small subunit ribosomal RNA", at positions 28 to 507 of the family's 1533-position model. The record is from RNAcentral.
GAUGAACGCUGGCGGCGUGCCUAAUACGUGCGAGUCGAGCGAACGGACGAGAAGCUUGCUUCUCUGACGUUAGCGGCGGACGGGUGAGUAACACGUGGAUAACCUACCUAUAAGACUGGGAUAACUUCGGGAAACCGGAGCUAAUACCGGAUAAUAUUUUGAACCGCAUGGUUCAAUAGUGAAAGACGGUCUUGCUGUCACUUAUAGAUGGAUCCGCGCUGCAUUAGCUAGUUGGUAAGGUAACGGCUUACCAAGGCAACGAUGCAUAGCCGACCUGAGAGGGUGAUCGGCCACACUGGAACUGAGACACGGUCCAGACUCCUACGGGAGGCAGCAGUAGGGAAUCUUCCGCAAUGGGCGAAAGCCUGACGGAGCAACGCCGCGUGAGUGAUGAAGGUCUUCGGAUCGUAAAACUCUGUUAUUAGGGAAGAACAUAUGUGUAAGUAACUGUGCACGUCUUGACGGUACCUAAUCAGAAAGCCACGGCUAACUACGUG